CAGAUAUCAAUGAGUGUUUUGAGGAAACAUUCAAAUGCUCAGGUAAUAUGAAGUGUAUAAACACCAUCGGCUCAUUCGAGUGCAUCUGUCCACCUGGAUAUCAUGUAUCAAGAACAGACUCAGGAUGUGAAGACAUUAAUGAGUGUUCAGAUCCAGAUGUUUGCGGCACAAACGCUGACUGCAGAAAUCAUCCAGGCAGCUAUAGCUGCAAAUGUCACCAGGGUUACAGUAACUACAGCCACAGCCAGUCCAAAUGCAUCAAGAUAGUGCAUUUCUGUCUAGCUAAUGAGUAAGAGUCCAUGAUGCCCAUUUUCCCAGGAUUCUGAAGAAGAGAUGAGCUGUGAUCAUAUGAUGUUUGAAUGUUUCCUCUUUUUUCUUCUCAGAUAUAAUUCUGAAAGUAUUACGCAUUUUGUUUUGUAGUUGUUCAUGAAAACAGAAGGUGUUAAACUCUGUUCAUUUAAUUUAUAAUGUGCUUUUUUGCUAUGAAACAUCUUACAAUAUAUUGCCAAAGCAUGUUUACAGUGAAUCUUGAACAGAUGAGUACAAAUUAUGAAAAUCAAA
Molecule: long non-coding RNA, 561 nt
Organism: Labeo rohita (rohu)
Lineage: Eukaryota; Metazoa; Chordata; Actinopteri; Cypriniformes; Cyprinidae
Exons: 3
Source: RefSeq, a predicted model, not a curated record